Molecule: ribosomal RNA, 402 nt
Filed under: uncultured bacterium
Lineage: Bacteria
Description: bacterial SSU rRNA
Rfam family: Bacterial small subunit ribosomal RNA
Source: RNAcentral
UAGGGAAUAUUGGUAAUCUGGGAAACCGGGAACCAGCAACGCCGCGUGUGCGAUGAAGGCCUUCGGGUUGUAAAGCACUUUUGAGGGGAUGAAAAAGGACAGUACCCUCAGAAUAAGUCUCGGCUAACUACGUGCCAGCAGCCGCGGUAAGACGUAGGAGACGAGCGUUAUUCGGAUUUACUGGGCGUAAAGCGCGUGCAGGCGGUUUGGUAAGUUGGAUGUGAAAGCUCCCGGCUCAACUGGGAGAGGUCGUUCAAAACUGCCAGACUAGAGAAUAGGAGAGGGAGGUGGAAUUCCGGGUGUAGUGGUGAAAUGCGUAGAUAUCCGGAGGAACACCGGUGGCGAAGGCGACCUCCUGGCCUAUUUCUGACGCUCAGACGCGAAAGCUAGGGUAGCAAACGG